UUCCGGUUGAUCCUGCCGGACCCGACCGCUAUCGGGGUGGGGCUAAGCCAUGCGAGUCGUACGCCCGGGGACCGCCGGGCGUGGCGCACGGCUCAGUAACACGUGCCUAACCUACCCUCGGGAGGGGGAUAACCCCGGGAAACUGGGGCUAAUCCCCCAUAGGGGAAGGGUGCUGGAAGGCCCCUUCCCCGAAAGGGACCGCGGUCGAUCUACCGCGGUCCGCCCGAGGAUGGGGGCACGGCCCAUCAUGGUAGUUGGCGGGGUAAUGGCCCGCCAAGCCGAAGACGGGUGGGGGCCGUGAGAGCGGGAGCCCCGAGAUGGGCACUGAGACAAGGGCCCAGGCCCUACGGGGUGCAGCAGGCGCGAAAACUCCGCAAUGCGGGAAACCGUGACGGGGCCACCCCGAGUGCCGCCCGAAGAGGGCGGCUUUUGCCCGGUGCAAAAAGCCGGGCGAAUAAGCGGGGGGCAAGUCUGGUGUCAGCCGCCGCGGUAAUACCAGCCCCGCGAGUGGUCGGGGUGCUUACUGGGCCUAAAGCGCCCGUAGCCGGCCCGGUAAGUCGCCCCUGAAAUCCACGGGCUCAACCCGUGGGCUGGGGGCGAUACUACCGGGCUUGGGGGCGGGAGAGGCCGAGGGUACUCCCGGGGUAGGGGCGAAAUCCGAUAAUCCCGGGAGGACCACCAGUGGCGAAGGCGCUCGGCUGGAACGCGCCCGACGGUGAGGGGCGAAAGCUGGGGGAGCAAAGGGGAUUAGAUACCCCUGUAGUCCCAGCUGUAAACUAUGCGGGCUAGCUGUUGGGCGGGCUUAGAGCCCGCCCAGUGGCGGAGGGAAGCCGUUAAGCCCGCCGCCUGGGGAGUACGGCCGCAAGGCUGAAACUUAAAGGAAUUGGCGGGGGGGCACCACAAGGGGUGAAGCUUGCGGCUUAAUUGGAGUCAACGCCGGA
Molecule: ribosomal RNA, 941 nt
Filed under: uncultured archaeon
Lineage: Archaea
Description: bacterial SSU rRNA
Rfam family: Archaeal small subunit ribosomal RNA
Source: RNAcentral